Molecule: ribosomal RNA, 462 nt
Filed under: uncultured Microbacterium sp.
Lineage: Bacteria; Bacillati; Actinomycetota; Actinomycetes; Micrococcales; Microbacteriaceae
Description: bacterial SSU rRNA
Rfam family: Bacterial small subunit ribosomal RNA
Source: RNAcentral
ACCCGCACAAGCGGCGGAGCAUGCGGAUUAAUUCGAUGCAACGCGAAGAACCUUACCAAGGCUUGACAUAUAGAGGAAACGUCUGGAAACAGUCGCCCCGCAAGGUCUCUAUACAGGUGGUGCAUGGUUGUCGUCAGCUCGUGUCGUGAGAUGUUGGGUUAAGUCCCGCAACGAGCGCAACCCUCGUUCUAUGUUGCCAGCACGUAAUGGUGGGAACUCAUGGGAUACUGCCGGGGUCAACUCGGAGGAAGGUGGGGAUGACGUCAAAUCAUCAUGCCCCUUAUGUCUUGGGCUUCACGCAUGCUACAAUGGCCGGUACAAAGGGCUGCAAUACCGUAAGGUGGAGCGAAUCCCAAAAAGCCGGUCCCAGUUCGGAUUGAGGUCUGCAACUCGACCUCAUGAAGUCGGAGUCGCUAGUAAUCGCAGAUCAGCAACGCUGCGGUGAAUACGUUCCCGGGUCUU